Molecule: transfer RNA, 71 nt
Filed under: Phrynosoma platyrhinos (Desert horned lizard)
Lineage: Eukaryota; Metazoa; Chordata; Lepidosauria; Squamata; Phrynosomatidae
Description: tRNA-OTHER
Source: RNAcentral
GCCAACAUGGCAUAGUGGUUUGAGUGCUGGACUGCAACUCUGGAGAUCAGGGUUCAAUUCCCCACUCGGCC